GCAUUAAUGGGGUAGUGGUAACCUGGGUCGUUGCCAUAGUACCGGGCACAAUAGCUUCGACCCGCCGGGGGUUCGAUUCCCCCUUAAUGCA
This is a non-coding RNA of Favolaschia claudopus, 91 nucleotides long. Lineage: Eukaryota; Fungi; Basidiomycota; Agaricomycetes; Agaricales; Mycenaceae. The record is from the annotation of a GenBank genome assembly.